CUUUUUAAGCCCAUAACCACGUGUGUGAGGUGUAUACUUUUGUUUCAAAAUAGAUUUGUUUAAGACUUCCAAGAAACACUGAUUUAGCCCAUUGGAGUAAAAGGUUAAACCCUACUGGCUAUUGUGUAGGUAUUAAGCCAGAAGGGGACACCAAAUCCCCUAGUAUCUCUUUUCUCCUCCCCCCUAUUACCGUAGCAUAGGCUAUGCUUCAGCAAAUGUAGGCCUACCUGUCACAAUAAAAAAAGUUACCAUGACGAGAUGAUAUAUCUACAUGCAUUGUGAACUGCGCUCCAUACUGAGAUGGGCUGUAUGUCCCCGCCCUGAGCGUUGAUGAUUCAUCAUGCAGAGGACGUAGAGAAUCCAGAUUUAGACAUUGCAUUAAAUUUCAGUUCCAUUUCACGCCAUGCUGUUCAUAUAAAUAAUUUAUUAUAAUUUACCGGUUUCUCGCAAGUUAUUUAUCGGGAAAGGGGAGGUAUUUUGGGCGGUAAAUCCUGGUAAAUCUCAGUAACUGGGUUACCGCCAUUCAACCCUAGACCUGACCUCAGAGCUAUAGUAAAGUCCCCAUAUUUGUGGACCCUAUUUGAUUUGUUUUAUUGAAUUCAGUUUGGUAUGAGAAUGGUAGCCCCUAUCUGAAAAAGCAGGGUGUCUGCGGAAAAGCUGAGUAUCUUGGCUAUUGAUCGGUGCCUUCAAAUCUUACUACCAUAUAUGGGCAUAAGAAUAUAUAAGGGAAAGCCGAGCAGAUGACCUCAUUUCAAGACGGCUGCAACCUACAUCCGGGUUAUCGUUGUGAAGCAUAAACAAAAUAAACACGGAAUACCUUGAUACACACCGAAAGCCGGGACUCCACAAAUCAUGAGGAUAUUUUAUUUGUCUGCCAUUAUUGAUCACCUGACUAUUUUUUUUUACACAACAUUUUCACCAAACAGCAAACAUUUUACAAGGGCACAAUACAAGAUUGCAGAAAGACUUCGCACCAACAGCACCGGACUGGUCCAUUCCAGGUGCUCCUGACGACCCAGACAGAGGUGAAGGUUGCAGAGGUCUACGUGGGUUCACGCCAGCUACUGCAGGAUGGUGCUCCACAACCCAGACAAAGAUGUACCAGCUGAUGGAUCGUCAUAGGCGACCCCAGUGGCCAUGGGAGGACCAAGACCAGACUACGCAUCAUGUUUAUUGCUUUCGUGGUCAGACUUCUCAUUGCAGCUGUUGUAUGGGCCCUGGGAGAAGUGGCCACAAUGCAACUGAAGUAUACAACACCAGCAUAGUCCCAUGGUGGACUUAAAUAACACCCGCUCCAGCUCGAGCCAACGUCAGGCUCAGGACGGGUGUCCAGCAAACAAUAGCCGCCCCAUUUCUAGAAGAAGCAGUAGGUCGAUGCUGAACUGUGGUAGUAUGGACAGUGUCAAUGUGAUGAUUGUCCUCUUUGUACAGACAGAGUGUACUCCUGUGUAACUGUUUAAAUGAUUUGUAACUGUUUAAAUUAUUCCCUUAAAUGUUUUGCACCAUGAAGGGAAAAAAAACUCAGUGGCUCAACGGAAGCCAUUGACAAAGAUAAUGUACUGGUGUAAGAGAGCCUACAAUGCUUUAUAUUUUGCUUGGUUUAAGUUUUGCUUAGAUUAUGACAAUUGGCUUACAUUAUGAAUUAUUACUUACAUGCUUACUUGUCAUUUUGUAUUAGGUUGAAGUUAGUCUCAAAGGGGAGGAAUAUGAUGGGGAAAAUUACAAACUCUUAUGCACAUGCGCUGUAUAAGCCUUAAACCUGUACAU
Salmo trutta (river trout) is the source of this 1767-nucleotide long non-coding RNA. Lineage: Eukaryota; Metazoa; Chordata; Actinopteri; Salmoniformes; Salmonidae. The record is from Ensembl.